RNAcentral lists this ribosomal RNA (465 nucleotides) under Vreelandella stevensii. RNAcentral's name for it is "partial 16S ribosomal RNA". It matches the Rfam family "Bacterial small subunit ribosomal RNA", at positions 338 to 795 of the family's 1533-position model. The record is from RNAcentral. Lineage: Bacteria; Pseudomonadati; Pseudomonadota; Gammaproteobacteria; Oceanospirillales; Halomonadaceae.
CCUACGGGUGGCUGCAGUGGGGAAUAUUGGACAAUGGGGGCAACCCUGAUCCAGCCAUGCCGCGUGUGUGAAGAAGGCCCUCGGGUUGUAAAGCACUUUCAGUGAGGAAGAACGCCUGGUGGUUAAUACCCAUCAGGAAAGACAUCACUCACAGAAGAAGCACCGGCUAACUCCGUGCCAGCAGCCGCGGUAAUACGGAGGGUGCGAGCGUUAAUCGGAAUUACUGGGCGUAAAGCGCGCGUAGGUGGCUUGAUAAGCCGGUUGUGAAAGCCCCGGGCUCAACCUGGGAACGGCAUCCGGAACUGUCAAGCUAGAGUGCAGGAGAGGAAGGUAGAAUUCCCGGUGUAGCGGUGAAAUGCGUAGAGAUCGGGAGGAAUACCAGUGGCGAAGGCGGUCUUCUGGACUGACACUGACACUGAGGUGCGAAAGCGUGGGUAGCAAACAGGAUUAGAUACCCUGGUAGUC